RNAcentral lists this ribosomal RNA (585 nucleotides) under Streptosporangium sp. ACT-98. RNAcentral's name for it is "bacterial SSU rRNA". It matches the Rfam family "Bacterial small subunit ribosomal RNA", at positions 273 to 873 of the family's 1533-position model. Lineage: Bacteria; Bacillati; Actinomycetota; Actinomycetes; Streptosporangiales; Streptosporangiaceae. The record is from RNAcentral.
GCGACGACGGGUAGCCGGCCUGAGAGGGCGACCGGCCACACUGGGACUGAGACACGGCCCAGACUCCUACGGGAGGCAGCAGUGGGGAAUAUUGCGCAAUGGGCGAAAGCCUGACGCAGCGACGCCGCGUGGGGGAUGACGGCCUUCGGGUUGUAAACCUCUUUCAGCAGGGACGAAGUUGACGUGUACCUGCAGAAGAAGCGCCGGCUAACUACGUGCCAGCAGCCGCGGUAAUACGUAGGGCGCAAGCGUUGUCCGGAAUUAUUGGGCGUAAAGAGCUCGUAGGUGGCUUGUCACGUCGGGUGUGAAAGCUUGGGGCUUAACUCCAGGUCUGCAUUCGAUACGGGCUGGCUAGAGGUAGGUAGGGGAGAACGGAAUUCCUGGUGUAGCGGUGAAAUGCGCAGAUAUCAGGAGGAACACCGGUGGCGAAGGCGGUUCUCUGGGCCUUACCUGACGCUGAGGAGCGAAAGCGUGGGGAGCGAACAGGAUUAGAUACCCUGGUAGUCCACGCUGUAAACGUUGGGCGCUAGGUGUGGGGACCUUCCACGGUUUCCGCGCCGUAGCUAACGCAUUAAGCGCCCCGCC